This is a long non-coding RNA of Ictalurus punctatus (channel catfish), 2109 nucleotides long. RefSeq lists it as uncharacterized. The transcript is spliced from 3 exons. The record is from RefSeq and is a predicted model, not a curated record. Lineage: Eukaryota; Metazoa; Chordata; Actinopteri; Siluriformes; Ictaluridae.
UAGAAAAAGUGCAGUACAUUUUCAUGGUACGGUCAGUACUGUUUAUUUUUGUAAUAAAGUGAACUUAAUUUUUCCACUGAGUGUUAUAUUUUCAUUCAGUAGUAAUCGGUUAUUAGUAGGUGCUACCCGACUUAUCGGUUAUCGGCAUCUGUAAGAUCCACUGUCGAUCAGCCUUUAAAAUAGAUUAAUGUGUAUGACAUGAUCUUCUUUAAUUAAUAAAGAAAUGCGCUUGUUGACAACUUGCUGUGGUAUAAGGGGAAUAAAACACUUCAGAAUGUGCAGUUCUACUUUAGGGUGAUAACGGUCACUCCACUUCAUUGGAUUGUUGACUGUUUUCCUAUAACCGUAUGUUUAUUCCUUACAUAAAUUAAACACAAAGCAUGUAGGGGUUCUACAUGCAUGUAGUAUUUGUACAAUCAAUAACCUAUUAGAGUAAUACAUUGUGGUAUAUAAACUGAACUUUGUGUUUGAUGUGUCUGCAGUGCCCAAAGCCCGUGGUGGUGGCAGUGCAUGGCGGUUGUGUAUAAGCAGGUCUGUUGGGACUGUUAAGUACCAUCAUCUCAUACACUCACCACAACUCUGGGAAGUUCCAUCCAUAUUGUUUGCUGUCACUUUUCCUGCAAAGCUUUAACCAUCAGAGAGUUAUCUUUUACUGGGGCUUUUAGCUGCAGGAGACUGAAUUACUAAGUUUUUUUUUUUGUGGAUCUGAUUUCUUCUUUCGCAGGAGUGGAUCUAAUCACAGCCUGUGAUAUUCGUCUGUGCACACAGGAUGCCUGGUUUCAGGUGAAGUCGUGUGUUCCCUGAUAGUCAAUGAUUGCUGGAGCUCUGGAAAUAGCAGGUGAGAUUGCAGGCCGGAGUCGCGUCGCUGUCCAAGGAACCAAAAUCAACCUCCUCUACUCCUGAGACCACAGUGUGACUGAGAGCCUAGACUACAUGGCUACUUGGAACAUGAACAUGUUGCAGACACAGGAUCUUAUGAAGUCAGCGCAGGCAGCCCUGGAAAAGAAGAGUCCGAAAGACGUGCCCUUCUCCAAGCUUUAAAGGAGAAGAUCCAGGGCUGUUGAAGCUGCGGUGGAACUGAGACAUCAUCAUCCACAUAUCUUCAGUUCUUCUUGCUAAGUCUGUUUCUUUUUAGUCUUUUUAUUUUUAGACUGGUCAAAAGACUGAUUAGUGGAAGUGAAAUGAUAGAUGAACUUUUAAUUACUUGCUUUAUUAUUUGCAGGUGCCUUGUACAGUAAGACAGGGUAACUAAUACUCAAAAGCUUGUUUUGUGUGUUAACAUGUACAGUAGAUGGACAUAUUUUUUCUGGUGCUGUGACUGCAGAAUGUAGUGCAGUUAACACAUUAAAUUUCCUUGGAUGCUCACUUUUAACUCGAGGAGGUCACAGUUUGCCCAGACAUCUUUUUUUAAAUCCGUCAAUCCGUCACCCACACGUCAUUCUGUGGGACGAAGAGGAGGAAGCUGGACAGAUAAAUUUAUUUAUUUAUUUAUCAUUGCUGUGUUUCCUCAAUCGAGUGCAGAAAGAAGAAAAACAACACAACUGAUUUAAAAUAAAAAUAUAGAAAACAAUCUAAUGUAAGGUUCUGAUCCGGUUUGCUUUCAGCAGGAAGGCUGUCCUCUUUCCUGUUGCUCUUUCUCUUCUAUUAGUCCAUUUGUCCAGUCUGAAUCGGUUUUGAUUCGUUUCGAGACGAUUCGGAGUCGAAUAAUUUUCUAGUGAGAGUCGCACACUUCCAAACGAACUAGACUGAGAUGAGUAUUUGAUUCUCACUAGAAAGUGAUUCGACUCUGAAUAAACUCGAAAUGAAUCAGUCAAACUAUUUCAGACUCUAUAAAAGGACUAUGAGAUGUGAUUAAGAUAUAUAUUCCAAUGUUUUGCUUUACAAUUCCAUUGUGUGUGUGUGUGUGUGCGUGUGUGUGUGUGUGUGUAUGUGUGUGCGUGCGCGCGCACGUGUGUUUUUCAGGAGAACGAGAAACUCGGACACAACAGUACAUCCUGACCAUUGGUACUGUGUACACAUCAACAUACACACACGUCUCCAUGCUGGACAUCUCAGGAGCUUUCACACAGUGCUAGGAAUAUCCCGGGACAGAGAAACGCACCUUCUAAG